This 582-nucleotide ribosomal RNA is filed under the name uncultured Alphaproteobacteria bacterium. Its description in RNAcentral is "bacterial SSU rRNA". It matches the Rfam family "Bacterial small subunit ribosomal RNA", at positions 45 to 673 of the family's 1533-position model. Lineage: Bacteria; Pseudomonadati; Pseudomonadota; Alphaproteobacteria. The record is from RNAcentral.
CGCCUAACACAUGCAAGUCGAACGCAGUAGCAAUACUGAGUGGCAAACGGGUGAGUAUAAUGUGGGAAUCUGCCUUUUGGUUCGGAAUAACACGAGGAAACUUGUGCUAAUACCGGAUAAGCCUUUACAGGGAAAGUUUUAAUGCCAAAAGAUGAGCCCGCACUUGAUUAGCUAGUUGGUAAGGUAAAAGCUUACCAAGGCAACGAUCAAUAGCUGUUCUUAGAGGAAGACCAGCCACAUUGGGACUGAGACACGGCCCAAACUCCUACGGGAGGCAGCAGUGGGGAAUCUUGCACAAUGGGGGAAACCCUGAUGCAGCGAUGCCGCGUGAGUGAAGAAGGCCUUUGGGUUGUAAAACUCUUUCGUCGGGGAAGAAAAUGACUGUACCCGAAUAAGAAGGUCCGGCUAACUUCGUACCAGCAGCCGCGGUAAUACGAAGGGACCUAGCGUAGUUCGGAAUUACUGGGCUUAAAGAGCUCGUAGGUGGUUAAAAAAGUUGAUGGUGAAAUCCCAAGGCUCAACCUUGGAACUGCCAUCAAAACUUUUUAGCUAGAGUAUGAUAGAGGAAAGUGGAAUUUCUAG